RNAcentral lists this ribosomal RNA (3695 nucleotides) under Nitrospirales bacterium NOB. RNAcentral describes it as "23S ribosomal RNA". It matches the Rfam family "Bacterial large subunit ribosomal RNA". Lineage: Bacteria; Pseudomonadati; Nitrospirota; Nitrospiria; Nitrospirales. The record is from RNAcentral.
UGUGGUCAAGCAUGAAAGGGUGCAUGGUGGAUGCCUAGGCGUCCAGAGGCGAAGAAAGACGUGGUAGCCUGCGAUAAGCCCGGAGAAGGCGGCAAACAGCCUGUGAUCCCGGGAUUUCUGAAUGGGGAAACCCGACGUCACUGAGCAAUCAGAUGGCGUCACCGGCGGCUGAAUUCAUAGGCCGUCGGAGCCGACCCGGGGAACUGACACAUCUCAGUACCCGGAGGAAAGGAAAUCAACCGAGACUCCGUCAGUAGCGGCGAGCGAACGCGGAUACAGCCCAAACCGGUCUUCGGACCGGGGUUGUGGGGCCUCGAGGAGUUAAAAAGGCGCGGCCGGCGGAAUGGUCUGGAAAGGCCAACCAGAGCGGGUGACAGUCCCGUAGGCAAAGGUCGCAGCCCUCCGUUGAGAGGAUUCCCAGAGUAGCACGGAGCCCGUGAAACUCCGUGUGAAGCCGGGGGGACCACCCUCCAAGGCUAAGUACUCCUGGACGACCGAUAGUGGACCAGUAAGGUGACUGAAAGGUGAAAAGAACCGCAAUAAGCGGAGUUAAAAGAACCUGAAACCAUGCACUUACAAGCUGUGGAAGCACGAUGGAACUGUCUUCGGACUUUUCCCGUGUGACCGCGUACCUUUUGCAUAAUGGACCGGCGAGUUACUCCUCUGUGGCAAGGCUAAACCGCGCAGCGGUGGAGCCGCAGCGAAAGCGAGUCUGAACAGGGCGACCAGUCGCAGGGGGUAGACCCGAAUCUGCGUGAUCUACCCAUGGCCAGGAUGAAGUGCCCGUAAAAGGGCGCGGAGGUCCGAAGCCGUGAACGUUGAAAAGUUCUGGCAUGAGCUGUGGGGAGGAGUAAAAGUCUAAUCAAACGCAGGGAUAUCUGGUUCUCCCCGAAAUCGCUCUUGGGCGAGCCUCGGGCAACUACGUGUCGGGGGUAGAGCUACUGGAUGAAACGAGGGGUCUACCCGACUACCUCCUUCAACCAAACUCCGAAUACCGACGCGACUAUCCCGGGAGUCAGUCUGCGGGGGAUAACCUUCGCGGACAAAAGGGAAACAACCCACACCGCCGGCUAAGGCCCCCAAAUACGACUGAGUGCGAAAGGGCGUUAGAUUUCUAGGACAGCGGGGAUGUUGGCUUAGAAGCAGCCACCAUUUAAAAAGUGCGUAAUAGCUUACCCGUCGAGAAAUCUGGCACCGAUAAUGAACGGGACUAAGUCGUAUGCCGAAGCCGCGGGAUCAAGAGACUAGAAACUAGAAACUGGAGACAAGACGGCGCAUGCCGUAUCACCGGCUCGAUGUGUUUCAGAAGGCCUAUCGGCUCUCGCUUGAAUUGCACGAGGCCAAGCGGAGCUUUCCGACGCCGGAAGGUGCCGAUGUGGCCGGGCAACUUCGCAGGGCGAGCAAGUCGAUCGUCGCCAAUCCGGUCGAAGGAAUGGCGCGACAGAUGUCCCCGCGGGACGUCGUUCGCUUCCUACGCGACGCGAUGGGCUCAUGCGACGAGACACGCCUGUGGCUCGACUAUGCGCGUGAUCUGAAAUACAUCGAGGCGGAACGUCAUGCCAACUGGACCGAGCGCUACCAAGAAGUCGGCCGCAUGUUGAACGGCCUGAUUCGUAAGUGGUCGGCGUGAAACGGUGUUUUUCUAGUUUCCGGUUUCCAGUUUCUAGUCUCUUGAUCGGUAGGGGAGCGCUGGCAGGCAGAUACAAGCCGUAUCGUAAGAAGCGGUGACGGGCCUGUCAGGUGCGUAUGCCGGUUUGAGUAACGAUAAAGCGUGUGAAAAUCACGCUCGCCGUAAGCCCAAGGUUUCCUGGGGAAGGUAAAUCCUCCCAGGGUUAGUCGGAACCUAAGGCGAGGCCGAAAGGCGUAGCCGAUGGACAGCGGGUUAAUAUUCCCGCACUCCGUAUCAAGGUCGAACCAUGCGUGCGUUUUUCCAAGGUGCAGCCCACCACGAGACGUGAGGGUUCCCGAAAGGGCGAGGCCAAUUUGUUGUCGAAGUGCACGGAGGAAGAACCGAGAAAAGCGCAUGGGGACGAGAUGCGGAUCCGUACCAAAACCGACACAGGUGGGCGAGGAGCGUAUCCUCAGGCGCUCGAGAGAACGGUCCUUAAGGAACUAGGCAAUUUGACCCCGUAACUUCGGGAUAAGGGGUCCCUCCCGCUUUGUAGCAAUACGAGCGGAGGGCGCAGAGAAACGGCUCUGGGAACUGUUUAUCAAAAACACAGGUCUCUGCCAACUCGCAAGAGGAUGUAUAGAGACUGACGCCUGCUCGGUGCCGGAAUGUUAAGGAAGUCGGUCAGGGGGUUCGCCCCCGAAGCUGGCAACCGAAGCACCGGUUAACGGCGGCCCUAACUAUGAGGGUCCUAAGGUAGCGAAGUUCCUUGUCGGGUAAGUUCCGACGCGCAUGAAUGGCGUAAUCACUGGAGCACUGUCUCAAGGACCGACUCGGUGAAAUAGAAGUUGUGGUGAAGAUACCACAUACCCGCGGCAAGACGGAAAGACCCCGUGAACCUUCACUGUAUCCUGGUAUUGGAGCCGGGUAACGCAUGCGUAGGAUAGGUGGGAGGCUUUGAUCCGCCGGUUUUGGCCGGCGGGGAGCCACUGUUGAAAUACCACCCUUGUAUUAUUCGUCUCCUCACCUCGUCCCGUGAAUCCGGGCGAGGGACCGUGCUAGGUGGGCAGUUUGACUGGGGCGGUCUCCUCCCAAAGAGUAACAGCCAAAGGCUGGUGUUGCUCCGCGUCGUGGCGACACGACGAUGAAAAUCCGGCCGUAUGCUGGAAAAUCCGUGUAUUCGGCGGUACGGGCGCUCGCCCGUGACAACCCGACCGAUGCGGACAAUCAGCAGGAAACCAUGUCUGUUUGCUGGCUCCGAGAAACAAGGCGCCAGGAAUCGAAGUGGGAUCCUCAGAGACUAUACGCCGGACGUCCCCAAGGGGACGAUGAGAUAGUCCGAACUGCAUGGCGACAUGCAGAGAUCGGCAGAAAUGUCCGAUCCCGCCGCCUCGUAACGCCUCUAGUGUCUAGUUCUCUAGUCUCUAGCCCGUUACGAGCGCAGCGAGUAACAAUCUUGAACGGAGGAGUGCAUAAGGUCGGCUCAGUGCGGUUGGCAAUCGCACGCAGAGCGCAAGGGUAUAAGCCGGCUUCACUGCGAGAUAUACAGAUCGAGCAGAUGCGAAAGCAGGCCCUAGUGAUCCGGUGAUCCCGUGUGGAAGGGUCAUCGCUCAACGGACAAAAGGUACUCCGGGGAUAACAGGCUGAUCGCUCCCGAGCGUCCAUAGCGGCGGAGCGGUUUGGCACCUCGAUGUCGGCUCAUCACAUCCUGGGGCUGAAGGCGGUCCCAAGGGUUCGGCUGUUCGCCGAUUAAAGUGGUACGCGAGCUGGGUUCAGACCGGCGUGAGCCAGGUCGGUCCCUAUCUGUCGCGGGCGCACCAGACUUGAGAGGCCACAACCCUAGUACGAGAGGACUGGGUUGUACGAACCUAUGGUGAUCCAGUUGUCCCGCUAGGGGCACCGCUGGGUAGCUAAGUUCGGAAUGGAUAAACGCUGAAUGCAUCUAAGCGUGAAGCCGCCCUCGAGAUAAGGUCUGGAUCGCUUUUGCGUGAAGGCCCCUCGAAGAUGACGAGGUAAAUAGGCCGGAGGUGUAAGACCAGAAAUGGCCUGAGCUGACCGGUACUAACGGCCAAGUGCUUGACCACAU